CUAAAAUACCCUCAUUUUCUCCCUUACCCUUCUGUCUAUCCCAUCUCUCUCUCUCUCUGGUUCGUCUCCUUCUUUGCCCGACACCAUCACAAACUCACGGAAACUACGGCAAUCCAACCACCUACAAGCUUCUCAUCGUCCAAAGCCUCAAAGACCCUUUUCCUUCCUGCUAACAUCAACCCAAAUCCCAUACUCAUCUCUUUUCGGCAUAUACUAUUUACAUAGCAGCAUCAACUCAAAUCUCAUGCCUAUCUCAUUCAACAACUCAAC
Molecule: unclassified non-coding RNA, 270 nt
Filed under: Hevea brasiliensis (rubber tree)
Lineage: Eukaryota; Viridiplantae; Streptophyta; Magnoliopsida; Malpighiales; Euphorbiaceae
Source: RNAcentral